This 432-nucleotide ribosomal RNA is filed under the name uncultured bacterium. RNAcentral describes it as "partial 16S ribosomal RNA". It matches the Rfam family "Bacterial small subunit ribosomal RNA", at positions 29 to 507 of the family's 1533-position model. The record is from RNAcentral.
AACGAACGCUGGCGGCAUGCCUAACACAUGCAAGUCGAACGAGACCUUCGGGUCUAGUGGCGCACGGGUGCGUAACGCGUGGGAACCUGCCCUUAGGUUCGGAAUAACUCCCCGAAAGGGGUGCUAAUACCGGAUAAUGUCUUCGGACCAAAGAUUUAUCGCCUUGGAUGGGCCCGCGUUGGAUUAGCUAGUUGGUAGGGUAAAAGCCUACCAAGGCGACGAUCCAUAGCUGGUCUGAGAGGAUGAUCAGCCACACUGGGACUGAGACACGGCCCAGACUCCUACGGGAGGCAGCAGUGGGGAAUAUUGGACAAUGGGCGAAAGCCUGAUCCAGCAAUGCCGCGUGAGUGAUGAAGGCCUUAGGGUUGUAAAGCUCUUUUACCCGGGAUGAUAAUGACAGUACCGGGAGAAUAAGCUCCGGCUAACUCCGUA